RNAcentral lists this long non-coding RNA (2218 nucleotides) under Homo sapiens (human). RNAcentral describes it as "long independently transcribed non-coding RNA 3057, transcript variant 1 (LINC03057)". The record is from RNAcentral. Lineage: Eukaryota; Metazoa; Chordata; Mammalia; Primates; Hominidae.
ACCCUGUCCUCGCCCGCCACUCACCGGCGCCAGGGGAACGCAGGAGCGUGAGCCCCUUCGCGCCCCCAGCGCCGUCGGCGUCGCUGCCCCAGACACAGACACUGCCUCGAGAGGCCUCACAGAGGCGGGGGCAGAAGGCGGCGACCCAGAGCCGCCACAUCCCCCGCCUUGGGCGCCGUCACAGUCCCCAGACGCCCUGGACUCCUGCAGUCUACGAAGACGCGCGGGGGACGGCGUGGUUCCGAGAGAGGGCGCCAAAGGCGACGUGCCGGCCGCCAGCUCCAGGCCGAGCCCCGAGCGCCUGCAGGAACACGCCCCUUCACCCGGCGCGGGACGCAGAGCUGCGAGAGAAUCUUGUUCAGCGCGGACUCAACGCCAGGGCGCCGCCUAGAGGUUGGUCUCUGUCUCGGCCUCACCCGCCGGGAGACCACAGAGCUGCUUCCCCAGCCGCCCGCCGCCAGAAAUUGGAAAAAAAAAAAAAAAAAAAAAAAAAAUCCAGCUGGGGUCUAGGAACUCGGCUUCUGGCACCUCUGAAUUCUCCGAGACUGUCUCCUCCCUCCCCGCCUGUAAUGAACCCUGUGAAGGGAGACAGGCCAGGAAGUCCCAGAAAUAUUUAUUCUUGUGACUCUCACAAAAUGGAAAAGGGUCUCAAUUUUUGUUUCUUUAAGGAACUUGUGUUCUGCGUCUGUGUCUACACUGCCUCCUCUCACCAACCAAAUUGUCUAGCCCCCCUCCAGUUACGCUAGAACUCUGCUUUAUCUUCAAGGAAGAAAGGGAGUGGGGAGAAGUUACCUCUAAACCCUCCAGCAUGGCCAUCAAUUUUCUGAAUAAUUUGGAGGUCAACAUGCUUUUGGAAAAGUGUUUGGAAAACGUUUGGGGGUGAAAAGAAAUGUUGCCUAACUGGCCUUUACUCACGGAGUGACCAUCAUCUCAGCUAGUUAGUGUAUGAGCGGCACCAGCACCCCGGCCAUGGGUGUCUGUGCUGAGCCUCUGAAAGUUGACUUAUCCUUUGGGGAGCCCUCGGAAAGACACAGCUGGUAUCUAUGGGAAUGGCUUUGGGGUGUCCUUUGGCACCAUACAGAUAAUUUUGUUUUUUUAAUUGGAAUCCAUGGCCUGGGUUCUUGGGAUGGGGGUAGGGGGAAGCCACAAAGCCCCUGGAAAUGUAUGCAAAACAUAUGGGUGUGCAGGUGCAUCAUCCUAAGGCUAUGGCCUCUUCAGUUUUUCCAAAGAGUCUAAGACUAUAAAAGGUUUCCAUCUCCUUUUCUCAGCCAGGGAGCCACAGAGACCCAGGCCAGCAGUAGGCUGGGAGCCAGCACACCGGCCCCCACCAGGUGCCCGGUAGGGGAUGGGUAAUAACACUCUUGAAUGGUCUGGAAACUGCUGGCCCCUCAGUCCUGCCGUCCUCCCAGAGGGAAAUCCUAAUAGAAGAAGUGACAGCCAGUAGCUGCCAUCUCAGUAUUUUGAAUGAAAAUAUAACAUGAUAAAGAGCAAAUGAGGGAGGCUGGAGGGGCCUCCCCAUGCAAAUACUGGAAUAUGAAUGUUGGCCAGAAAUAAGAUACUUCCUGCCCUCCAGCUGUUAAAGAGCUCCCCAAUUCCUCCCUUUUGGUGCUAGGAAGGGGCCAGAGGGCACUGCCCCCAGACCACCACCCACCUCUGGAGAGCUGGGGCCGAGUGGGACUGCCUGCAGCAGAGUUAACCCUUCAGAAAAUUCAAAACCUAUACUGCCUAGUAUUUUCCCUGCCCGUUUAUUUUUUAAUCAGAUUUUUAAAAUAUCCAGCAGCACUUUGGUGCCUUUUCUUGGGGUUGGGGAGUGGGGUUAUCUAUGUGUGUAUCUAUGGGAAGGUGGGUGCCUUCAGUGCACUAAACCCCCUCUUGGGCCUGCAGCUGGACCUCACUCCUGUACCUGAACACUCUGCCUGAGCCUGAGCUAAUCUUAGCCAUCCAUUGUGUCUCAAAACUGUUUUGGAGGUGAAUAACUGUGAGGCAGGAUGGAGAACCUUUUGCUCUCCCAUCCAGAAGGGCACCUAACCAGGCCCCUGGAGCAGACAAAAGGAGCAGGAAGUCAAUCACUUCGAUCCCAGUUCUCUGAAGCCCAAGAAGAAAACGGAUUUUCCUUCGUUUUGGUUCGGAGGCCUAGUAGAGAAUUUGGAUUCCACCAAGUUCUCUUUUUUCAAAAAAAGUAAACGGUCCAGAGCAGACAAAAACUGUGGAAACUUGA